AUUGAACGCUGGCGGCAGGCCUAACACAUGCAAGUCGAACGGUAACAGGAAGCAGCUUGCUGCUUCGCUGACGAGUGGCGGACGGGUGAGUAAUGUCUGGGAAACUGCCUGAUGGAGGGGGAUAACUACUGGAAACGGUAGCUAAUACCGCAUAAUGUCGCAAGACCAAAGAGGGGGACCUUCGGGCCUCUUGCCAUCGGAUGUGCCCAGAUGGGAUUAGCUUGUUGGUGGGGUAACGGCUCACCAAGGCGACGAUCCCUAGCUGGUCUGAGAGGAUGACCAGCCACACUGGAACUGAGACACGGUCCAGACUCCUACGGGAGGCAGCAGUGGGGAAUAUUGCACAAUGGGCGCAAGCCUGAUGCAGCCAUGCCGCGUGUAUGAAGAAGGCCUUCGGGUUGUAAAGUACUUUCAGCGGGGAGGAAGGGAGUAAAGUUAAUACCUUUGCUCAUUGACGUUACCCGCAGAAGAAGCACCGGCUAACUCCGUGCCAGCCGCCGCGGUAA
RNAcentral lists this ribosomal RNA (506 nucleotides) under uncultured bacterium. Its description in RNAcentral is "partial 16S ribosomal RNA". It matches the Rfam family "Bacterial small subunit ribosomal RNA", at positions 30 to 523 of the family's 1533-position model. The record is from RNAcentral.